Molecule: ribosomal RNA, 774 nt
Filed under: uncultured Neocallimastigales
Lineage: Eukaryota; Fungi; Neocallimastigomycota; Neocallimastigomycetes; Neocallimastigales
Description: partial large subunit ribosomal RNA
Rfam family: Eukaryotic large subunit ribosomal RNA
Source: RNAcentral
UAUCUCUGUAGAGUCUGCAUAUCAAUAAGCGGAGGAAAAGAAACUAACAAGGAUUCCCUUAGUAACGGCGAGUGAAGCGGGAAGAGCUCAAAUUUGAAAUCUUCAAGGUUCUACCUUGACGAAUUGUAGUUUAAAGAAGUGUUUUCUGUUGGAGUUUUGGUAAAAGUUCUUUGGAAUAGGACAUCAUAGAGGGUGAGAAUCCCGUAUUUGACCAUUAUUUUCAGCUGUGUGAUACACUUUCAAAGAGUCGGGUUGUUUGGGAAUGCAGUCCAAAAUGGGUGGUAAAUUUCAUCUAAAGCUAAAUAUUGGCGAGAGACCGAUAGCGAACAAGUACCGUGAGGGAAAGAUGAAAAGAACUUUGAAAAGAGAGUUAAACAGUACGUGAAAUUGUCAAAAGGGAAGCGUUUGACACCAGUGUUGUUUUCUCGAAAAUCAAUUAAAAAAAGUUGGAUUUUGUAUUGUUAAGACCUUAUCAGCUUACUGUACUCUUUUCUUGCUUUUUUUAAUGCACUUUUCGUUUAACAAGUCAACAUCAAUUUCUUUUGUUGUAAAAGAGUCAUUGGAAGGUGGCUUUCACUUCGGUGAAAGUGUUUAUAGCCUUUGGCCUCUGCAAUCGGAGAGAUUGAGGUCUGCAGCGUAGAUCCUUCGGGGUUAGAUACAUUUGUGCUAAGUUAUAGCCUUUCAUAGACAACUUGUUGACUAUGUUUAGUCAUGUAGCUUACUCGCUUAUGCUAUUUUACCUACGCUUAGGAUGUUGAUCUGUAGUGCGUGCGC